Molecule: transfer RNA, 72 nt
Filed under: Phrynosoma platyrhinos (Desert horned lizard)
Lineage: Eukaryota; Metazoa; Chordata; Lepidosauria; Squamata; Phrynosomatidae
Description: tRNA-OTHER
Source: RNAcentral
UAGCACAUGGCGUAGUGGUUUGGGUGCUGGACUAGGACUUUGGAGACCAGGGUUCGAUUCUCAGCUUGGCAC